Molecule: ribosomal RNA, 253 nt
Filed under: uncultured bacterium
Lineage: Bacteria
Description: partial 16S ribosomal RNA
Rfam family: Bacterial small subunit ribosomal RNA
Source: RNAcentral
UGCAGAGGUCCCAAGCGUUGUUCGGAUUCACUGGGCGUAAAGGGUGCGUAGGUGGUGAGGUAAGUCGGAUGUGAAAUCUCGGAGCUCAACUCCGAAAUGGCAUUGGAAACUACCUUGCUCGAGGGUUGGAGGGGGGACUGGAAUACUUGGUGUAGCAGUGAAAUGCGUAGAUAUCAAGUGGAACACCAGUGGCGAAGGCGAGUCCCUGGACAACGCCUGACACUGAGGCACGAAAGCGAGGGGAGCAAACAGG